GUCGGCGUGCUUAACACAUGCAAGUCGAACGGAAAGGCCCUGCUUUUGUGGGGUGCUCGAGUGGCGAACGGGUGAGUAACACGUGAGUAACCUGCCCUUGACUUUGGGAUAACUUCAGGAAACUGGGGCUAAUACCGGAUAGGAGCUCCUGCUGCAUGGUGGGGGUUGGAAAGUUUCGGCGGUUGGGGAUGGACUCGCGGCUUAUCAGCUUGUUGGUGGGGUAGUGGCUUACCAAGGCUUUGACGGGUAGCCGGCCUGAGAGGGUGACCGGCCACAUUGGGACUGAGAUACGGCCCAGACUCCUACGGGAGGCAGCAGUGGGGAAUAUUGCACAAUGGGCGGAAGCCUGAUGCAGCAACGCCGCGUGCGGGAUGACGGCCUUCGGGUUGUAAACCGCUUUCGCCUGUGACGAAGCGUGAGUGACGGUAAUGGGUAAAGAAGCACCGGCUAACUACGUGCCAGCAGCCGCGGUGAUACGUAGGGUGCGAGCGUUGUCCGGAUUUAUUGGGCGUAAAGGGCUCGUAGGUGGUUGAUCGCGUCGGAAGUGUAAUCUUGGGGCUUAACCCUGAGCGUGCUUUCGAUACGGGUUGACUUGAGGAAGGUAGGGGAGAAUGGAAUUCCUGGUGGAGCGGUGGAAUGCGCAGAUAUCAGGAGGAACACCAGUGGCGAAGGCGGUUCUCUGGGCCUUUCCUGACGCUGAGGAGCGAAAGCGUGGGGAGCGAACAGGCUUAGAUACCCUGGUAGUCCACGCUGUAAACGGUGGGUACUAGGUGUGGGGUCCAUUCCACGGGUUCCGUGCCGUAGCUAACGCUUUAAGUACCCCGCCUGGGGAGUACGGCCGCAAGGCUAAAACUCAAAGGAAUUGACGGGGCCCCGCACAAGCGGCGGAGCAUGCGGAUUAAUUCGAUGCAACGCGUAGAACCUUACCUGGGUUUGACAUGGAUCGGGAGUGCUCAGAGAUGGGUGUGCCUCUUUUGGGGUCGGUUCACAGGUGGUGCAUGGCUGUCGUCAGCUCGUGUCGUGAGAUGUUGGGUUAAGUCCCGCAACGAGCGCAACCCUUGUUCACUGUUGCCAGCACGUUAUGGUGGGGACUCAGUGGAGACCGCCGGGGUCAACUCGGAGGAAGGUGGGGAUGACGUCAAGUCAUCAUGCCCCUUAUGUCCAGGGCUUCACGCAUGCUACAAUGGCUGGUACAGAGAGUGGCGAGCCUGUGAGGGUGAGCGAAUCUCGGAAAGCCGGUCUCAGUUCGGAUUGGGGUCUGCAACUCGACCUCAUGAAGUCGGAGUCGCUAGUAAUCGCAGAUCAGCAACGCUGCGGUGAAUACGUUCCCGGGGCUUGUACACACCGCCCGUCAAGUCAUGAAAGUUGGUAACACCCGAAGCCGGUGGCCUAACCGAAGUGGGGGAGCCGUCGAAGGUGGGACUGGUGAUUA
RNAcentral lists this ribosomal RNA (1432 nucleotides) under uncultured organism. RNAcentral's name for it is "partial small subunit ribosomal RNA". It matches the Rfam family "Bacterial small subunit ribosomal RNA". The record is from RNAcentral.